CAAUGAGUGUUUUAUGGCACUUUUUAAAUCCAUAUCCACCUUGUGUGCAAUGUCAGUUGGUCUUCUUUAUGGAGAUCGACCAAACAUCAACCUAUUUUUUAACUCUUUGUCUGAAAAAUAUUAUGAAUAAAAUAAUUCAAAAUA
This 144-nucleotide unclassified non-coding RNA is filed under the name uncultured Mortierellales. Its description in RNAcentral is "sequence contains ITS1". The record is from RNAcentral. Lineage: Eukaryota; Fungi; Mortierellomycota; Mortierellomycetes; Mortierellales.